This 446-nucleotide ribosomal RNA is filed under the name uncultured bacterium. Its description in RNAcentral is "bacterial SSU rRNA". It matches the Rfam family "Bacterial small subunit ribosomal RNA", at positions 331 to 792 of the family's 1533-position model. The record is from RNAcentral.
CCAGACUCCUACGGGAGGCAGCAGUGGGGGAUAUUGCACAAUGGGGGAAACCCUGAUGCAGCGACGCCGCGUGGGCGAAGAAGUAUUUCGGUAUGUAAAGCCCUAUCAGCAGGGAAGAAGAAAUGACGGUACCUGACUAAGAAGCCCCGGCUAACUACGUGCCAGCAGCCGCGGUAAUACGUAGGGGGCAAGCGUUAUCCGGAUUUACUGGGUGUAAAGGGGGCGCAGACGGCAGCGCAAGCCAGGGGUGAAAGCCCGGGGCCCAACCCCGGGACUGCCCUUGGAACUGCAUGGCUGGAGUGCGGGAGGGGCAGGCGGAAUUCCUGGUGUAGCGGUGAAAUGCGUAGAUAUCAGGAGGAACACCGGCGGCGAAGGCGGCCUGCUGGACCGCGACUGACGUUGAGGCUCGAAAGCGUGGGGAGCGAACAGGAUUAGAUACCCCUGUA